Molecule: ribosomal RNA, 468 nt
Filed under: uncultured bacterium
Lineage: Bacteria
Description: partial 16S ribosomal RNA
Rfam family: Bacterial small subunit ribosomal RNA
Source: RNAcentral
GACGAACGCUGGCGGCGUGCUUAACACAUGCAAGUCGAACGGAAAGGCCCUGCUUUUGUGGGGUGCUCGAGUGGCGAACGGGUGAGUAACACGUGAGUAACAUGCCCUUGACUUUGGGAUAACUUCAGGAAACUGGGGCUAAUACCGGAUAGGAUCUCCUGCUGCGUGGGGGGGGUUGGAAAGAUUCGGCGGUUGUGGAUGGUCUGGCGGCUUAUCCGCUUGUUGGGGGGGUAGUUGCUUACCAAGGCUUUGACGGGUAGGCCGCCUGGGAGGGGGACCGGGCACCAUGGGACUGAGAGACGGCGCAGUAGCGAAUGGUACGCAGUGGGCGGGAACCUGGCGCAACGGGGGGAAGCCUGUGGUGGAAAUCUUCGGAUCGUGAUGCCCGGUUAUUGGGGGUAAACAGCUGUCGAAGUAGAUGUACACUGCGUGACGGUAACUGGUAAAGAAGCACCGGCUAACUACGUG